UUCUGGCCAUUCCAGCAGCCUCAAGUUUCCAUCUGUUAUUUCCUCUACCCUGAGAGUCCAUCACUGAUUUCUAUUUGGGCUUGAUUUCUAGGUGCCAGUUUGGAAAGUGGUCUUAGGAUGAAUGUCAGAUGCACUUUGUGUGUUUCUCUGCAUUGGUUGCCAUCCAAUGUCUGAAAAGAGUUGUUGUAUUUGUUCGGGGUUUAUAGCUGUUUAUGGUAGGAGGAUGAGUACAAUAUCAGGUACUGUUUUAUAGCAAGACUAGAAGCCUGGUUGGGCUUCUUAACAAGCCCUCAAAUGAGCUUUCUGUUCCCAGUCAUGCCCCUACAAUCUGUUCUCCACCCAGAACCGAGUGGUCUCACAAAAAUUUAAGCUGGAUCGUAACACUCACCCUGGCCUACCAAGUCCACCACGACCUAAGGUCUGCCUUUCUCUGCAAUCGUCAGAAUCUUUGUAACUCCUCUCCACCUUCAGCCACACCAGCCUUCUCUCUCUCUUCCUUGAAUAAGGUUCCUGCUUUAAGACUCUGCAUCAUCUAAUAGAGCACAUGAUGUAUUCUUUCCCCCCAUUAUCUCGUGGUUGAUUCAUUAUUGCCAUUCAAAUCUCAGCACAGACAUCACCUUCCCUGACCAGCCAAUUUAAGCAGCCCCCAAGACAUGUCCCAUCCCUGUUUUAUUCUCUUCAUAGGACUUCACCACUAACUGUUCAUUUCUGAGCUAUUUUCAGAAACUUUUCUUGUUCAUUUUUGUGUCAAUUUUCAGUCCCCUUCCACUACAGUGUAACUCCAUGAAAGCAGGAAGCUAGCCUGAAUUGUUCACUGCUGUAACCUCAGAGCAGUGCCUGGCACAAUACAGAUUCUUGAUCAAAUCAAAAUGUUUCAAUGAAUGAGUAAACCUGGACAGAUCCAAGGCUGGGGCUACCUGUCAUGUUGUAACAAGCAUGUUAAUUAACAGGAAUUUGUUUUGGCUGCCAUUUGUGUGGCUUCAAAUUUGGAAGGAAGCUCUAAAAACGAUAUUGCCUUCCUUGGUCUGGAAUUAAGCAACACUUUUUUGUGUGUGAGUUUGCCGUGUGUCAUGACAUUAUUUUGAGUGUCUGCUAUGUGUCUUCACCAGAAAAGAUGUUAAGAGCACAGCCUUUGGAGUGAAACCAGACUGGAUAUCAAUCUUGUUUUGCCACAUUCUAGCUAUGUCAUUUGGGACAAGUUAAUCUAAGCCUCAGUUUCCCCAUCUGUGAAAUAGGAUGAUAAUAAUCCUUAUCUCCGAAGAGUUUUGUGGAGGCUAAAUUAAAUAAUGUGUGUAAUUUAUUUAGAAUUGUAUUUUGUCACUGCAUUUGGAAUGUUCCAAAUAUAAUUAGUGUUAUCCUUAAGUAUUAUUAGUUUAUGUGAUGGCAGUAUUUUGUGGGAUGAACAGAAGAAGUGCUGGGGUGGUGAGAGAUAAAGCACUAUGCCUAAAGGCACAUUUUCCAGAAAGAUUUCCCCAUAACCACCUGCUCUGGUUACUUCUUUGCUUCAUGCAUUCAUCACAUACAUAUGGCAUGUUGGUACUUGGCUCUUCCUAGAUGUUAUUUUUUCUUUUCCUUAAACUUCAUCAUUGGUGCUGCCAUGCCCUUCUCUCUUUUUAAGAAUUAAGAAAUGUUCAGUUUAAUGAUAUAUUCUCUUCUAUCCUAGUUCCCUCUUCCACUAGCAACUGUUCUAAAAUAUUUAAUGUGUAUUGCUUAGCUUUUAAGUAUUCUUGUAAAAUGUGUACUAGUCUGUUUGCAUGUACUCCUGUGUUGUUAUUUAUCACUCUGUUUCUCACAUUUGUUUCACCAAGCACCAUUGUUUAUUUAUUUUUUAUUUUUUGCUUUGCACACGUUGCUAUGCACCUAUCUACUCUGUGUUUCUUAAGGAUGCUCCGAGGUGGGAAUUUAUGCAUUUUACCUAUUCAAUCCCCCACUGAUUCCCAGAGUACCUUCAGUUCCCCACCAGCAACGGCAAAGAAAGCCCCCGUGCACAUCGCUUUGUAGCUUGUGUUGGAAAUUUCUUUAGGCUAUGUUUCAAGGAGUGGAAUUAUUAAGAUAGAGAAUGAAACUGUAUGUUCCUUGUUAAUGGUUCUUCAGUAUCUCCUUCUGGGUAUGUGUUGUAUAUCCCUAAUUAGCUUGUGAGCGAUGGGGUCAAAUUUUAGACCUUAAAACAAAAAAUAGCAAAGAGAAAUCAGGUCCAACACUGGGAUAAGUAGAGACUCAAAGUGGCAUGUGGAACACAAGAAGAAUCAUUCCACUUCUGUGUGACUAUAGAAAUACAAGUAGGGAAAUUAUGCCACUUACUUGCUAUUUUUAUAGCCCAUCCACAAGAGGAUUUGCUGGCAUGACUUGUACGGCAUGUGGAGAGUCCAAAACACAAUUAUCCAAAAGAAGAAGAAAUUAACACCAGAAAGAAUCCAGGAACAAAUGGGUUGUGACUGGUUGGUGUACACCCCUCACAAGGCAGAGGGGGCAUGAUCUUGUACUCGGUUUUAACACUUUAUUCUAAUCUGCAAUCCUAUAGAGUCAUAAAAUCACCAGUGUCCAAGAAGCUGCAGAGGACAAAGGGAAUUCAGCUCUAGAGCCUAAACGUCUUCUGUUCUCAGAAGCUGCCUCUGAGAUCCCUGAUUCUGCCGGACAGAGGAAUCUUCCAUUUUUCUGCUCUCCAUAGCACGGACUAGCCCUAUUACAGAGAACAUUACAACAUUACAUUACUCAUAUCAAAACCCUAUCAGUGAGUGGGAAGUGACAAUUAAACUGCACCUUGCGGACUAGACUGGGCAUAAGCAACACACUUCGGGUGUCACUGUCUCCCAUCGCCCCCAGAUGGGACCAUCUAGUUGCAGGAAAACAAGGUCCGGGCUCCCACUGAUUCUGCAUUAUGGAUUUGUAACAAAACGUGUUCAACAAGUUGAAUGAAAGAAAGAAAGCAAAAAAGAAAGAAAGGAAGGAAGAAAGAAAGGAAGGAAGGAAGGAAGAAGAAAAAGAGAGAGAGAGAAAGAAAGAAAGAAAGAAAGAAGAAAAGAAAGGAGAAAAGGAGGGAAGGAGGGAAGAAAAGAAUCAGACAUUUCCCUUUGUCCCUUACUGUGGGGAUUACUCCAUUUGUAGAGAAGUGAGUUAUUGUAAACUUCAAGUGCGCACUUGGGGAUCUACGCUUCUGAGAAGAUCUGAGCUCUUCCCAUAAAGAGCUAAAAGGGACGUGUGACAAGACCAGUGAACGCUGGGACUGAAUGACUUGAAAGAGAUAUCUUUCUGCUUUAAUUUUUUUCUCCACCCACUAACUCCACAUUUAAGAAAAAAAGUCUUUUUUUUUUUUUUUUGAGACUAUACCAGACUAGUUAAUAGAACAGGAUAAUUCUGGAUACAAGGCUCUGCAAAAUCGGAGCAUAUAAUGAGAGACAUUUGAAUGGAUGUCAUUGUCUUUCACAAAGCGUGCUUUUGUCUCAUUGUUUGCACCUAAGACUUCUUGCAAAACAACGGGCUUUGAAAGUGCAAGAUAUGCUGCUUAACUCUUGACGAGCUGACAGACAUCACACGUUUUCCAGGAGGAUUGUGACUGGAGCUUCAAUCAUAUUUCUCCCCCCCAGUUUCUGUGCAGUAAGUGUGACAAUUAGAACUAUUAGCUGACUAUCCUCACCCAGUUCCAGUCGUGCCAGAAGGAACUAAAAAUGCCCUGUAGUCAAACUGUAGACGGUCCUGCUUCUGAGGAGCCUGGGCUGAGGGUAGCUAGGGGCGAUAAUAUCACCCACAGAAACAACAGCCAGACUCCCCCCAAAACCAUUUCAUGAAACUUCCUUCAUCUGAAAAGACUGAGACCUUUUACGAUACUACACUUUGGGUGAAACAAACAACAAAAAAAGGCCAUUUCUAAAAAUAGCCAGCUUUUGUAGACUAUAUUUAGUCAUGUUUCUACUUGGUAAAAAUAUCAGAAUGCAUUUUGGCAGAAAUUUUCACCGUGCUUUUUUUUUUUCUUUCACUUCCUCUUAUUUAAACUUCUCUGAUGACACAAACAUUAAGGAUAUGAUCAGAAAACCCGAGGAGCUCUUCUCGGGUCAUGUGGCUAUUCACUUAACAAAAAUUUAUUGAGGACAAGCCUCUGCUUUGAAUCCGUUUUCUUUACAGUCUUUUGUUCUUGGAGUUCUCCAGGGAAUCUCCACACGGAAGGAAAAAAGGUGGCUGGACUCUAACGCGUUAUAGGGCGGUGCAUAUGAAACAAAGCAGUUCAUCCAAGUACCUGUUUUGCAGGGUUCCUGUGAGCUUGGAAUGCCACGAUACAUGUGCAGCAUUUAAUCAGAGUUUGGCAAGAGGGUGCUGUAACCAAAAAUCCAAGUUGAACUUCACUGUCAAUUAAGGAACACUAUCCCUCCUAAGUAAAAGCUGUUAUCAUAGGGAGGGAUUUUAUAUCAAAAUGUUUUUCAUAAGCAUUUGGAGCCUCAGGACCUGAUGUUGGAAGCUGCAAAGUGAAUUCCUACACACCCCCCCCCCAGAGGGGUACAGCCUCAGACAGAUCUGGAGGUCAGAAGUCUGAAAGCAGUUUUCCAGAGUAAAAUCAAGUUGUCAGCAGGGCAGUGAUCUUUCUCAAGGAUCCAGGGGAGAAUCUGUUUCCUGCCUUUUCCAGCUUCUUAUGGCCGCCUGUAUUCCUUGGCUUGUGGGCCUGCAUCACUGUGACCUCUCAUAAGAACCUCGCAGUCUGAAACGAGCUAGGGGAUGAGCAGCCAGCUUGGAGGAGGUCAGCAGGAGGCUGCAGAUAGAGAACUCCAGAGGCUGCGGCAGCCGUGAAGGACAGAGACCCGUGGAAGAGUCAUCAUGAUCAAGCCUUUGGGAAAUAAACCUAGAGGAAAAUGUGCCAUUCCAAAGUGAAAUCAAGAUCCUUGCAUUAUCUUACUUCCAAACUGAUCCUAAGACUUAAGUAGGGUUUCCAUCUGGAGGCACAAAGGAGAAGCAGGGAUUGCCAUUCGGUCAAGCUGGGUUUGAUAGAAGGCACUAGGGAAGCACGUGUCUAGACAAUUACAUGGGAUACCUGCCCCCAUGUUGGCUGCAUUGCUGUUGAACCACCUGCCUCAUUGUCUGGACUACCUCUGUCUUUGCCUGUGUCAGGCCAGCCUCGCCUUCGGGAUGGGCCCUGUGUAGCUGAACGUCGGCUGAGCCAGGCCUCUGGGGACUUCCUGCCUGUCCCAGCUGGGUGGGCAUCUUUGCAUCUUGUUCUACCUCGCCAAAGAAUUUGCACUAGAACCCGGGGGCCCUGUGAGUCCCCUUCUGUGGCGGAGCUGGGGUGAGACACUGUACACGGUUAAAGAAUGUGCUCACCACUUACAGAGCGACACAAAUGGUAGGCUUUCAAUCAGAGAGACCCUCAUGCAAAUUCCAUGGCUUGGGUAAAUCACUUCCCCUUUCUAAUCCUCAGUCUCUUCAUCUGAAGGUCGAGAUCAUGAUGACAUAUAUCUCUGUUAGCCAUUGUCAGAGUAAAGGAGGUCAUCUGUAGUAAGUGUAUAACACAGUGCUUUCUGUGUGCUCAAUAUGCAUUAAUAUUAAUAAUAUAAUUAAUUUGGGUUCAGGGUGCUCGUUUCUAGAGUUAGGCAGGCUGGGUCACACCCCAAAAAUGCCCUUCUUUGCAAUGAGACUGUUACACACUGCAUUUUGGGAGAAAUUAGCUCACCACCUCUGAGUCUCUGAUUUCCUAUUAACAGCACUUACCCUGUAACUGGUCGCAACUGAAAGUGACCGAGAUGUUACAUAGCCUGAGGAUUUGGUUUUGAGGCACAGAGCAGGAGCCCUGGAAUUUUCCUUCUAGGAUCCCGGGCAGCCCUGCUUACUCAGAAGGAUGGCAACUACUUAGUAUUCAAAUGGUGGGCAGCCCCGUUAAGCAUCUCCGUCAUUCACUAAUUCUACUUAAUUCAGUAGAAGGUCCCACAGCAGGUAUGUCUAUGCAGAUAGAGCAGCCUCUGGUGAGGUUGGAGAGCACAGAGAAAACUCCAGAUAAUCAGACACACUGAAACUGAUACCACGACACAGGAGACACAGGAGUUGUGGGAUGACUCAUCCCGGCCUGGUGUAGGAAACUCCGCUUGUCACCGCCCUGGAUCGUCAUUGGUAAGGGGACCCUGGAAGGCUGUGCUUGCACUGCCACCUAGUGGUUACAAAAAGCAAGACAGUCUGGGAAGGAUUCUGGACCCACAGACAGACCCACUGGGGCAAUGAUCACCGAGAACCAACAUCCUCCUCACAGAAAUUUUAUAAGUUGAACUUUUUAUUCACAGAUUUACAACCCAAUUUCCUAAUUUAAUUUGAUUUAAUUUGAUCACCCCGACCAAAGCACUGAAACGCUGUGAGAUUCAAGGUAGGGGCAAAAGCACCAGCCUAGGAGUCUAAAGGCUCAUUUGAGUCACUAGCUCACUGUUCAGAAUUGGGGAAAUGGCUUAAAUCUUCCAUUUUCUCUUAGAAAAAUGGAAUCUAACAAUACCCAGGGUUUAGGCGGCUGUGAGGUCUGAGUGUGAAGCCCCUUUGUAAACCAUAUGGUGUUCUUCCCUUUCUAGCAUCCUGCUUCUGCUUCCCUGGGAUUCUGCCUCUCUGCACUCCAAUGCCCACAUCCCCAUUUCAGUAAAACCGAUCAGCCAACCCCUCUUCUCCCGCAGGAAGUGGAGGACCCCUCUCCCUUAGUAGUGCUGAAAAUAGAAAGCACAGAAAAACCAAAGAAAAACAAAAAAUGGGAAAGAUCCAGCCCCGGAUGUGCUUAUGGGACAGUUAACAAUGAAAAGAGUCAAGGGAGACCCCUGCCAUUCACAGCCUGCAUUUACCAGGAGAAAACUUCAUUCAGAGGACAACACACACCCUGAGCAUCUUCUGACUCUCCUGAGAGGACUCUUGUCAUGAUUUGCUGAAGUAAAGAGGAAAAGCUCUCCAGCAGCUACUAGACACAAGCGCUACUGGUUCAUGUACAUACAUUGUGCCAUUUACUCCCCAAAGCCAUCCUGAGAGACAGGUGCGCGCCCCGCACUGCAGAGGGAAGCUGAGCUAGGAGACAUUCGGUCAUGCCCUCAAGGCCCCAGAGGUAGAGUCUGCCUGCUUCUAAAGCCCCAGACUAAUCGUACAAAUUCACAAUAGUUAACUUUUGAUAGUAAUAUAAAAUAAGUUGACAUUUAUGGAGUGCUUAAUCUUUAUAAAGGCUUUACUGCUGCCAUUUGUUCCUCACAAAAGC
Long non-coding RNA from Globicephala melas (long-finned pilot whale), 7192 nucleotides. RefSeq lists it as uncharacterized. Lineage: Eukaryota; Metazoa; Chordata; Mammalia; Artiodactyla; Delphinidae. The record is from RefSeq and is a predicted model, not a curated record.